AUUGCCCCAGUAACGGCGAGUGAAGCGGCAAAAGCUCAAAUUUGAAAUCCUGCGGGAAUUGUAAUUUGAAGGUUUCGUGGUCUGAGUCGGCCGCGCCCAAGUCCAUUGGAACAUGGCGCCUGGGAGGGUGAGAGCCCCGUAUGGCGCACSCCGACUCUUUGCACCGCGGCUCCGACGAGUCGAGUUGUUUGGGAAUGCAGCUCUAAGUGGGUGGUAAAUUCCAUCUAAAGCUAAAUAUUGGCGAGAGACCGAUAGCGAACAAGUACAGUGAUGGAAAGAUGAAAAGCACUUUGAAAAGAGAGUGAAACAGCACGUGAAAUUGUUGAAAGGGAAGGGCUUGCAAGCAGACACGGUUUUACCGGGCCAGCGUCGAAAAGGGGGGAGGRACAAGAACUCGAGAAUGUGGCGCGCACCUUCGGGCGCGCGUGUUAUAGCUCGUGUUGACGCCUCCAUCCCUUUUCGAGGCCUGCGAUUCUAGGACGCUG
This 485-nucleotide ribosomal RNA is filed under the name Clavispora lusitaniae. RNAcentral's name for it is "eukaryotic LSU rRNA". It matches the Rfam family "Eukaryotic large subunit ribosomal RNA", at positions 74 to 628 of the family's 3401-position model. The record is from RNAcentral. Lineage: Eukaryota; Fungi; Ascomycota; Pichiomycetes; Serinales; Metschnikowiaceae.